This 519-nucleotide ribosomal RNA is filed under the name uncultured Bacteroidota bacterium. RNAcentral describes it as "uncultured Bacteroidetes bacterium partial 16S ribosomal RNA". The record is from RNAcentral. Lineage: Bacteria; Pseudomonadati; Bacteroidota.
UGACCGCGGCUGCUGGCACGGAGUUAGCCGGCCCUUAUUCAAUCGGUACCGUCAAAGUCUGUCAAAACAAACCUUUUCUUCCCGAUUAAAAGCAGUUUACGACCCGUAGGGCCUUCAUCCUGCACGCGGCAUGGCUGGUUCAGGCUUGCGCCCAUUGACCAAGAUUCCCUACUGCUGCCUCCCGUAGGAGUUUGGCCCGUGUCUCAGUGCCAAUGUGGCUGACCAUCCUCUCAGAUCAGCUACCCAUCGUGGCCUUGGUGAGCUCUUAUCUCACCAACUAGCUAAUGGGCCGCAUGCCCAUCCUUAACCGCCGGAGCUUUCAUAAUAAACAGAGGCCUGUCUAUUAUGGUAUGGUGUAUUAACCUCGAUUUCUCGAGGCUAUCCACCUGUUAAGGGUAGGUUGCAUACGUGUUACUCACCCGUUCGCCGGUCGCCGGCAUCCCCGAAGGAAUCCGCUGCCCCUCGACUUGCAUGUAUUAAGCCUGCCGCUAGCGUUCAUCCUGAGCCAUGAUCAAACUC